GGACUCUCUUGUACAAGCCCCAACAGCUCCAUGCCCAUCCCUGCCCAGGGUCCAGCCUUGUCUUAGUAAACAUUCAUCUCCCUGACUCAGGCUGCUGCUUAGAAAUUCUGUUUCGGUUGCAGUUCCAUUGUGUGGAGCCAGUACUACAACUUUUCCUCCUGCAUUCAUUUCUCUUCCUGCUGCCUUGUGAAGAAGGUGCCUUGCUUCCCCUUCACCUUCUACGGUGAUUGCAAGUUGCCUGAGGAUUCCCCAGCCAUGUGAAACUGCAUCUCUAUUUCCUGAGACCCAGGGAUAUUUAAA
This 300-nucleotide long non-coding RNA is filed under the name Homo sapiens (human). RNAcentral's name for it is "HSALNT0349438". The record is from RNAcentral. Lineage: Eukaryota; Metazoa; Chordata; Mammalia; Primates; Hominidae.